This 72-nucleotide transfer RNA is filed under the name Ovis aries (sheep). It matches the Rfam family "tRNA". Rfam says of the family: Transfer RNA (tRNA) molecules are approximately 80 nucleotides in length. Their secondary structure includes four short double-helical elements and three loops (D, anti-codon, and T loops). The record is from Rfam by way of RNAcentral. Lineage: Eukaryota; Metazoa; Chordata; Mammalia; Artiodactyla; Bovidae.
UCCCCAGUUGCUCAGAUGGUAAAGCGUCUGCCUACAAUGCAGGAGACCCAGGUUCGAUUCUUGGGUUGGGAA